GGGGGAGGAUCAAAGCAAGUUUGAUAUAACAUGGUUUCACCUAUAAUGUGGUAAGAUUUUUUGGCUUCCGAGGACAGCGUUAUAGCUGGGUAGAGGAGUAUUUAUAAAACCUCUUUUUAUUGCCUUUUAUGUUCCUUGAUAGGUGUUAACUCAUUUUGUGCCUUAGCCUUUCUAAUUUUGUCCUGAACAUGUUUCAACACGAAAAAGGUUUUCAGAAAUGCACCAUCUCUUAAAAAAACUAAAAACCUCAUGACAAGAAAGACAGGUCUGAACAUGUUGAAACAUGUUUGGGCUUUUCUGGACGUGCCUGCCUAUUUUAGGAGGUAUAUUUCUGAAAUGAAGCUACACCAUAAUUUUGUGGGUCACUACGGGUGAGACCAUUUUUUUCAGGAGCGGGGGGAAGAAGGUGGCUGAGAAAAUUCCUAUCACAGUGUGACCAGAUCCCCGGGGUACAACCUGGAACUGUGGGACUGCUGUGCUCCUUUAACUCUCCAGCCAAUGUAGUUCUUUUAAAUCAAGUGUUAGGCUUGUUUGUCUUCAUAUAAGGUGACCUGUAUGUGAUUUUUUUUUAAUAUCCCAAAGUUUUAUAAAGCAAGUACUUCUGAGAAACACAAAAAGGAAGACAUUAACCCCAAUAUUCUAUACACACGUGCAUGUGCACACUAGCCCAUCCACGCCACUUAAGCUGUAUAAAUCACUCGUGUGUCCUUUCUUUACUGGGGAGAAUUUCAUCUGAAGUCAGAACGUUUCAGAAGGCAGAGACAACACGGAAUAAGUAAUAAUAAUCGGAAGAUAUAUAAACAGUACACAGGUGAGAAGCAAAUAAUUCAAAACUUAAAACAUCCAACUAACGAAACAUGGUUGUAUAUAAAUAGAAUUAUCUUCUCCACCAACGGUUUCAGGGAAAAGUAGUGUUUAACAUCAUAUCAGAAGGUUGUGGGUAAAUCCAGAGAUUCAAAUAAUUAAACCCUUUGUUCAAUAAUAAUCUUAACACCUAGGUCUUAUAUAGAUUCCUUGACAAAGCAGAAGCUUUGCCUUUUAACAAACACUAAAUUUUCUUUCUUUUAUGAAUUGAAGUAAUGCACUAAUGUUAGAUUUGAAAAUAACACUUUAGUUUUAAUAUAACUCAAUUUUAAACAUCUAACCUUCAAAGUGAUGGUCCUGUUUCCAGCAAAGAGACAACAAUUAGUUGUACAGUUGCUGGUGAAAGUUAAUACAAUGAAGCAAGGUAAUAGAUUUCUUCAUAAUAGUAGUAUAAGACUAUGCUAAUAUUCUAAUGCAAAGAUGGAAUGCUACAAAACUGAUAAAAGAGUGAUAAGUUGCAUUCUAAAUAUGUGUAUUUUUCAUUUAGAAUGUACCUGCAGCUGGGAUCACU
This 1375-nucleotide long non-coding RNA is filed under the name Chrysemys picta bellii (western painted turtle). RNAcentral describes it as "lncRNA (ENSCPBG00000001081.1)". Lineage: Eukaryota; Metazoa; Chordata; Testudines; Emydidae. The record is from RNAcentral.